CCAGAGCUGAGUCGACACGUGUCCCUCUAUGUCGUGCACAGCCCAGGGUCAGUGCUAGAGAGAAUCACAUGAAAUCUGCUGCUCCCUUUCACUUUAGCAGGGAACAGGGCAUGCUUAAGAAAGGCAGGCAGGUUGGAUUUUUAGGUGUAUAGCACAAAAGUAGAAAAUCAAACAAUGUAAACUGUAGUAAAGUAAGAGAGUCCUUCAUUGUGCAAUGGGGAACCAUUGAGUGUUUUUGAGUGAGGGAAUUAUAUGGUAGGACUGCUUUGCUUUAGCAAAAUUAAUUUUUUAGCAGUGUUUAGAGUGGAUUUCAGAGUGGACUAGGGUAAGUGCUCUAAAGGAGUAGAUACCACAUGCAGCUGAAGCUCAGAGGAAAGGGAGGUGAGCUUUGCCUGGGGGAGUUAGGGAAUGGUUUGUAGAACAUUUGACCUAGGCCUGGAAGGAUGAAUUUGGUGAGUCAGUGAGUGGGGCGGCCAAGAUAUUUCUGGAGGAGAGACUACUGGAGAGCCUUUCUUAUCAGGCUGCUGUGCGAAUGGGCUUGACUAGCAGGCAUGUAUUUAGAUAUCAUCUUGCUUUGAAAGGGAUUUACAACAGCUUAAAAAAAUGUACCACAACAAGAUAAAAUGAAGAAAAAUAAGGAGGUGAUGAAAUAGAGGCAGAGGA
RNAcentral lists this long non-coding RNA (663 nucleotides) under Homo sapiens (human). RNAcentral describes it as "HSALNT0059767". Lineage: Eukaryota; Metazoa; Chordata; Mammalia; Primates; Hominidae. The record is from RNAcentral.